RNAcentral lists this ribosomal RNA (797 nucleotides) under uncultured soil archaeon. RNAcentral's name for it is "bacterial SSU rRNA". It matches the Rfam family "Archaeal small subunit ribosomal RNA", at positions 79 to 863 of the family's 1478-position model. The record is from RNAcentral.
UGACGUACGGUCAGUAACACGUAGUCAACCUGCCCUGGAGACAUGGACAACCCGGGAAACUGGGAUUAAUCCGUGAUAGGUCAUCUCAUCUGGAAGGAGAGAUGGCUUAAAGGGGUGCGAGAGCUUCUUUCUUGCAUUCGCUCCAGGAUGGGACUGCGGCCGAUCAGGCUGUUGGUGGGGUAAUGGCCCACCAAACCUGUAACCGGUACGGGCCUUGAGAGAGGGGGCUCGGAGAUGGACACUGAGAGAAGGGUCCAGGUCCUACGGGGCGCAGCAGGCGCGAAACCUUCGCAAUGCGCGAAAGCGUGACGAGGUUAAUCCGAGUGGUCCCCGCUGAGGGGAUCUUUUGUCGGCUGUAAAAAGGCCGGUGAAUAAGGGGAGGGCAAGUCUGGUGUCAGCCGCCGCGGUAAUACCAGCUCCUCGAGUGGUCGAGGCGAUUAUUGGGCCUAAAGCAUCCGUAGCCUGUUCUGUAGGUCCUCUGUUAAAUCCAACGGCUUAACCGUUGGCCUGCAGAGGAUACCGCAGGACUAGGAGGCGGGAGAGGUGGACGGUACUCCACGUGUAGGGGUAAAAUCCUUUGAUCCGUGGAAGACCACCAGUGGCGAAGGCGGUCCACCAGAACGCGCUCGACGGUGAGGGAUGAAAGCUGGGGGAGCGAACCGGAUUAGAUACCCGGGUAGUCCCAGCCGUAAACGAUGCAAGCUAGAUGAUCCGGUCGCAAAUCGCGAUCGGAGUGUCGCAGGGAAGCCGUUAAGCUUGCCGCCUGGGGAGUUCAGUCGCAGACUGAACUUAAACCA